Zalophus californianus (California sea lion) is the source of this 104-nucleotide small nuclear RNA. The record is from Ensembl. Lineage: Eukaryota; Metazoa; Chordata; Mammalia; Carnivora; Otariidae.
GCGCUCGCCUUGGCAACACAUAUACUAAAAUUGGAACAAUACAGAGGUUAGCAUGGCCCCUGCUCAAGGAUGAGAGGCAAAUUUGUGAAGCGUUCUGUAUUUUU